AUUGAACGCUGGCGGCAUGCCUAACACAUGCAAGUCGAGCGGAUGAAGGGAGCUUGCUCCUGGAUUCAGCGGCGGACGGGUGAGUAAUGCCUAGGAAUCUGCCUGGUAGUGGGGGAUAACGUCCGGAAACGGGCGCUAAUACCGCAUACGUCCUGAGGGAGAAAGUGGGGGAUCUUCGGACCUCACGCUAUCAGAUGAGCCUAGGUCGGAUUAGCUAGUUGGUGGGGUAAAGGCCUACCAAGGCGACGAUCCGUAACUGGUCUGAGAGGAUGAUCAGUCACACUGGAACUGAGACACGGUCCAGACUCCUACGGGAGGCAGCAGUGGGGAAUAUUGGACAAUGGGCGAAAGCCUGAUGCAGCCAGGCCGCGUGUGUGAAGAAGGUCUUCGGAUUGUAAAGCACUUUAAGUUGGGAGGAAGGGCAGUAAGUUAAUACCUUGCUGUUUUGACGUUACCAACAGAAUAAGCACCGGCUAACUUCGUG
RNAcentral lists this ribosomal RNA (484 nucleotides) under uncultured bacterium. RNAcentral describes it as "partial 16S ribosomal RNA". It matches the Rfam family "Bacterial small subunit ribosomal RNA", at positions 30 to 507 of the family's 1533-position model. The record is from RNAcentral.